GACGAACGCUGGCGGCGUGCUUAACACAUGCAAGUCGAACGGAAAGGCCCCUUUGGGGGUACUCGAGUGGCGAACGGGUGAGUAACACGUGAGUAACCUGCCCUUGACUUCGGGAUAACUUCAGGAAACUGGGGCUAAUACCGGAUAGGAAUCCUUGCUGCAUGGUGGGGGUUGGAAAGCUUCGGCGGUUUUGGAUGGACUCGCGGCUUAUCAGCUUGUUGGUGGGGUAGUGGCUUACCAAGGCUUUGACGGGUAGCCGGCCUGAGAGGGCGACCGGCCACAUUGGGACUGAGAUACGGCCCAGACUCCUACGGGAGGCAGCAGUGGGGAAUAUUGCACAAUGGGCGGAAGCCUGAUGCAGCAACGCCGCGUGCGGGAUGACGGCCUUCGGGUUGUAAACCGCAUUCAGCAGGGGCGAAGCUUGUGGUGACGGUACCUGCAGAAGAAGCACCGGCUAACUACGUG
Molecule: ribosomal RNA, 465 nt
Filed under: uncultured bacterium
Lineage: Bacteria
Description: partial 16S ribosomal RNA
Rfam family: Bacterial small subunit ribosomal RNA
Source: RNAcentral